RNAcentral lists this ribosomal RNA (253 nucleotides) under uncultured bacterium. RNAcentral describes it as "partial 16S ribosomal RNA". It matches the Rfam family "Bacterial small subunit ribosomal RNA", at positions 524 to 776 of the family's 1533-position model. The record is from RNAcentral.
UACGGAGGGGGCAAGCGUUUUUCGGAUUUACUGGGCGUAAAGCGCACGUAGGCGGCAAAGCAAGUCAAAGGUGAAAGCCCUCAGCUCAACUGAGGAAUUGCCUUUGAAACUGCUCUGCUUGAGUCCGGGAGGGGGGAGCGGAAUUCCCAGUGUAGCGGUGAAAUGCGUAGAUACUGGGAGGAACACCAGUGGCGAAGGCGGCUCCCUGGACCGGCACUGACGCUGAGGUGCGAAAGCGUGGGUAGCAAACAGG